GAAAAAUCACCCCAGCUACAUCUGAGCACGAAGCAAAGGACAGAAAAGGAGCAUUCCCGGGCAUCCUCGGGACCCCAAAGAGCAAGAGCUGCACAAAAACUAGCAGUCAGGGUACAGCAGUCACUUAACCUCUCUGGAUAACAUGGGAAGGCAAGGAACACUCCUCAUUUCUGAGGCAGCUUUCUGGUUUUCCAGGGGUCAUCUGAGUGCAGGCACCUGUAAUCCUUUGGAGGCGAAGAGGCUGCUGUGUGGGCUCUGCUGCCAUUCCAAGCUGUAGACCUUGAGCAUGAGGUACAGAUGCAAAUGUAUGCCGACUUCUCA
Long non-coding RNA from Pipra filicauda (Wire-tailed manakin), 321 nucleotides. RefSeq lists it as uncharacterized. Lineage: Eukaryota; Metazoa; Chordata; Aves; Passeriformes; Pipridae. The transcript is spliced from 2 exons. The record is from RefSeq and is a predicted model, not a curated record.